GCUGUGCCGUCUUCACGGAAUUGUGCACGCUUACUCUCAUAAUCCUUAUCCCACCUGUGCACCUUCUAGGGAGAACGAUGGGUUUUACGACCUGUCAUGAUCUCUAUAUACACACUCUUUAUGUCAAUGAAUGUUACUUGGCCGAAAGGCUAGAAUUAUAAACAACUUUUAACAACGGAUCUCUUGGCUCUCGCAUCGAUGAAGAACGCAGCGAAAUGCGAUAAGUAAUGUGAAUUGCAGAAUUCAGUGAAUCAUCGAAUCUUUGAACGCACCUUGCGCUCCCUGGUAUUCCGGGGAGCACGCCUGUUCGAGUGUUAUGAAACUAUCAAGCAAAAUUGGUUUUAUUACUGGUUUUGAUUGGAUUUGAACUUUGCUGCUCGAUUCACGUGGAAUAAGGGGUUAACGCCCCUCCUGUUGGAUUAGCUGCUGGUUUUAAAAGUAUUACCUUGGGCCCAAUUUAUUCUGGUUCUACUUACCGUGAUAAUUAUUCAUCGUUAAGGACACUUCUCUCAGGGAGUGGCCAGGGUGGUUGAGACUGCUUCUAAUCAAUCUUCGGACAAUUUAUAUUCAUAUCUGACCUCUAAUCAGGUGGGACUACCCGUUGAA
Molecule: ribosomal RNA, 606 nt
Filed under: uncultured fungus
Lineage: Eukaryota; Fungi
Description: eukaryotic LSU rRNA
Rfam family: 5.8S ribosomal RNA (bases 164-317)
Source: RNAcentral